GACGAACGCUGGCGGCGUGCUUAACACAUGCAAGUCGAACGAAGAGCGAUGGAAGCUUGCUUCUAUCAAUCUUAGUGGCGAACGGGUGAGUAACGCGUAAUCAACCUGCCCUUCAGAGGGGGACAACAGUUGGAAACGACUGCUAAUACCGCAUACGAUCUAACCUCGGCAUCGAGGAAAGAUGAAAGGUGGCCUCUAUGUAUAAGCUAUCACUGAAGGAGGGGAUUGCGUCUGAUUAGCUAGUUGGAGGGGUAACGGCCCACCAAGGCGAUGAUCAGUAGCCGGUCUGAGAGGAUGAACGGCCACAUUGGGACUGAACACCGGCCCAACCUCCUACGGGAGGCAGCAGUGGGGAAUCUUCCGAAAUGGACGAAAGUCUGACGGAGAAACCCCGCGUGAGUGAUGACGGCCUUCGGGUUGUAAAGCUCUGUUAAUGGGGACGAAAGGCCUUCUUGCGAAAAGUGAGAAGGAUGGACGGGACCGGAAUAGAAAGCCACGGCGAACUACGG
Molecule: ribosomal RNA, 509 nt
Filed under: uncultured bacterium
Lineage: Bacteria
Description: partial 16S ribosomal RNA
Rfam family: Bacterial small subunit ribosomal RNA
Source: RNAcentral